This 253-nucleotide ribosomal RNA is filed under the name uncultured bacterium. RNAcentral describes it as "partial 16S ribosomal RNA". It matches the Rfam family "Bacterial small subunit ribosomal RNA", at positions 524 to 776 of the family's 1533-position model. The record is from RNAcentral.
UACGAAGGGUGCAAGCGUUAUUCGGAAUCACUGGGCUUAAAGGGUGCGUAGGCGGCGCGACAAGUUGGGUGUGAAAUCCCUCGGCUCAACCGAGGAACUGCGCCCAAAACUGUCGUGCUCGAGGGAGACAGAGGUGAGCGGAACUUAGGGUGGAGCGGUGAAAUGCGUUGAUAUCCUAAGGAACACCGGUGGCGAAAGCGGCUCACUGGGUCUCUUCUGACGCUGAGGCACGAAAGCUAGGGUAGCGAACGGG